GACGACACGACAAGCCACUCGGGUCCAAAAAGUGGGUACCAAAUCGACCUACCCCUCCGGUUCCUGGGGAACUGGAAAUGUCAAAGUGGAAACGUCAAACAAAUAUUCGAAAAAAUCUUUAAUUUGGCAGCACUGGCUUGCUGACAGCGAGAAAUGUCAUUUUGACAAAACAUUUUUUUUCGUGAUUUGUUACUGAUCUGGGAGGAACGUGACGUCCUGCGGCUUUCCGUCUGCACCGGGCCAAGUCCGGUACCGUUGGCCAACCUACGAUAGCGUACUCACCACCGGUCAGCUUAACGACGUUGGGUUAGUGGGCGGAGUUCUUUCUACCCCGAAGCAGAACGAGUGUGGGAUGCGGAUCGACGGCGGAGAGGAUGCCGAUUUGGACGAGUUCCAUGGUUGGCAAUGCAAGAACACGAAAAUUUCCGGGCCUAGUGCAAGUUCAGCUGUUAAGUUUUGCUGGUCAACAACCGGUACGUGGUCACGGCGGCACAUUGAGUGGUCGGAAGACGGAGGGAACGCUGUAAGUGCUAUUCAGCGUCCGGUUGGUCGAUUGUGACACCACGACCAAGAUCGAAUGCAUCGAGAAGGACGACGAGGAGAUUUGUGCUGAUCUACCGGUGGACGUGGCACUGUAGGAGAAGAUCCCCCACCCGGUAUACGGUACUGAGCAAGUUAAACAAAAUUGCGCUACUAGGGAUGGCUCGGGACGACAGUAAACAGACUUUAUCCUGCCUGUCUGUCUUUUGCUGCCAGAAUUAGGUUUUCGGUGGCCGGUGACGUCAACUUUGAGCCGCAGUCCAAUCAAGCAGAAGCUGGGCAUCAAGGUGUACGAGCAAAAACGGUGCCGGACGUUACGCGAAACAGCUGCACGCUGAUUAAGCUGCCGAAGGUUUGGACGCUGGAGGGCUUGGCGUACGGGAAUCGCUGUGACAUCGAGGAUUGGGCCGGGAUUUACUCGGGGUGCUCGCGUACAUGGACUGGUUCUGUUGUAGUCAUGUGCAAGCUUCCGUUACAAACGGAAUUGCGCGACCUCCUGUUGUGUGCUGCAGUUCAAAACUAUUAAACCAAGAAAUCGUGUUGUCUACGUGGUGAUGAUGAAAUUAUUGAGCAAACAAGACUUAUUUUUUAUUUCUCUUCAAAGACGCUUUGCCGAGGUCGGGAAAAAAAGGAAUUUCCAUAAAAAUUCCCCUUUUUCUCGAGCUUGGGAGUUUUGGUGUGAAUGAAAACUCAGUGAUCCAAACUUCUACUAACAAAUCCAGAACAAAGGUGUCUCAUUGCUCCGUCGAAGCUGGUACUAGGAGCUUUCUUCUUGCCGUCCGGCAGCAUCAGGGUGUUGAUUUUGGACACCUUGAUGUCCUACAGUUGCUUGACCGCAGCCGUAGCCAGGGCGUGGUUCUUUGUUAACGAAUCAGGAACUCGAACUUCUUCAUCACAGCUUCCGUCAUACGCGUCUAUGAGCCUGCGGAUCGGCAUCGACUUGCGCGGGAACUUGCCCUAAUGACCUAUUUUCUAGGUUAGACCGGUGCCAACAGUUACUUUCCCAUCCGACGGAAGGCGCGAUCAGACGAAUCUCGCGCCAAUAAACAACAGAAUUUAUUUCUCCUUUUAUUUUAGAAUAAAUUUCAAUACAAAUAUUUAUAUACCAAAACUUCCUGUAAAACGUUAGGUGGAAUUAAAAAGA
Culex pipiens pallens (northern house mosquito) is the source of this 1684-nucleotide RNA transcript. It is a transcript of the gene named CLIP domain-containing serine protease B9-like, with no coding region annotated. The record is from RefSeq and is a predicted model, not a curated record. The transcript is spliced from 2 exons. Lineage: Eukaryota; Metazoa; Arthropoda; Insecta; Diptera; Culicidae.